This 267-nucleotide ribosomal RNA is filed under the name uncultured bacterium. RNAcentral describes it as "partial 16S ribosomal RNA". It matches the Rfam family "Bacterial small subunit ribosomal RNA", at positions 793 to 1055 of the family's 1533-position model. The record is from RNAcentral.
GUCCUAGCCGUAAACGGUGCAUGUUUGCUGUAAAAGGAAUCGACCCCUUUUGUGGCGUAGCCAACGCGUUAAACAUGCCGCCUGGGAAGUACGGUCGCAAGAUUAAAACUCAAAGAAAUUGACGGGGGCCUGCACAAGCGGUGGAGUAUGUGGCUCAAUUCGAUGCAACGCGAAGAACCUUACCUGGCCUUGACAUGUAUGUAGUAGAAGGGUGAAAGCCUGACGAGGUAGCAAUACCAGCAUACACAGGUGCUGCAUGGCUGUCGU